GAUGAACGCUGGCGGCGUGCCUAAUACAUGCAAGUCGAGCGAACAGACGAGGAGCUUGCUCCUCUGACGUUAGCGGCGGACGGGUGAGUAACACGUGGAUAACCUACCUAUAAGACUGGGAUAACUUCGGGAAACCGGAGCUAAUACCGGAUAAUAUAUUGAACCGCAUGGUUCAAUAGUGAAAGACGGUUUUGCUGUCACUUAUAGAUGGAUCCGCGCCGCAUUAGCUAGUUGGUAAGGUAACGGCUUACCAAGGCAACGAUGCGUAGCCGACCUGAGAGGGUGAGCGGCCAUACUGGAACUGAGACACGGUCCAGACUCCUACGGGAGGCAGCAGUAGGGAAUCUUCCGCAAUGGGCGAAAGCCUGACGGAGCAACGCCGCGUGAGUGAUGAAGGUCUUCGGAUCGUAAAACUCUGUUAUUAGGGAAGAACAAAUGUGUAAGUAACUAUGCACGUCUUGACGGUACCUAAUCAGAAAGCCACGGCUAACUACGUG
Molecule: ribosomal RNA, 497 nt
Filed under: uncultured bacterium
Lineage: Bacteria
Description: partial 16S ribosomal RNA
Rfam family: Bacterial small subunit ribosomal RNA
Source: RNAcentral